GUGCCAGCAGCCGCGGUAAUACGGAGGGUGCGAGCGUUAAUCGGAAUUACUGGGCGUAAAGGGCGCGUAGGCGGUCGCGCAAGUCGGGUGUGAAAGCCCCGGGCUCAACCUGGGAAUUGCAUUUGAUACUGCGUAACUAGAGUCUGGUAGAGGGAAGCGGAAUUCCGCAUGUAGCGGUGAAAUGCGUAGAUAUGCGGAGGAACACCAGUGGCGAAGGCGGCUUCCUGGACCAAGACUGACGCUGAGGCGCGAAAGCGUGGGGAGCAAACAGGAUUAGAUACCCUGGUAGUCCACGCCCUAAACGAUGAGGACUAGACGUUGGGGGGAUAAAACCCUUUAGUGUCGCAGCUAACGCGUGAAGUCCUCCGCCUGGGGAGUACGGCCGCAAGGUUGAAACUCAAAUGAAUUGACGG
This 413-nucleotide ribosomal RNA is filed under the name uncultured bacterium. Its description in RNAcentral is "bacterial SSU rRNA". It matches the Rfam family "Bacterial small subunit ribosomal RNA", at positions 505 to 916 of the family's 1533-position model. The record is from RNAcentral.